CCCACACUGAUUAUAUUCUUUUAGAAUUGUUAUAUUUUGAUGAUUUACAUUAACGAUGAUGUUACCUGUUCUGUUUGUGAUUGUUUCACUGGAUACAGUUUCUAAGAGAGAUUUUUUGUGCUUUACUGUGCCAAAUGAUUUUUGCUGAUAUUUGUGAUUGUUUCACUGGAUAUAGUUUCUAAGAGAUAUAAUGUUUGGUUUUUUUAACGUAUAAAAUCCCCUAUUUGAGAGCUUCAAAAUCCACUCAGACUCAGACUGCCCCUGCGUUUGUUUCUGUUUGUCACUGCUGAAUCCUUACCUAGCUUCAAGGACCCACAUUCCAGGGACCCUCAUACCCAACUUGGGUGGUCUGUGACACAGAAGAAAAAUUACCUUUUGGCACUUGCACGAUCUUUAGCAUUCACCAGGAAAGCUUAACCAAGCACUACAAGAACUGAUAACAACCAAAGGAAUCCUAGUCCACAGACAAUAAGUGUAAGUUUAUGGGAGAUGUUAAUGAGACAGAUAUAUCUUAUUAAUAUUUUUAUUUUGAUAAAAAUAUGUUGUCCAGAUGUAAGAUGUCAGAGUUUGGCUCACUCUAGUGCCUACCUACAGCCAAGGGAGACCAGCCAUGAAGGUUGAUUGUGGAAUCAUUUCUGGAGAAUAACCUUUGAGGUUGAAGGAAAAUGAGGAGUCUAAUGGAAGGGGCCUUUGUGAGCCUAUGAAGAAAGACUGAUGGACUUUGGACAUUUUAAUUCUUUCACAACACCAGUCAAGGACUGGCUUUCCUCUGUAGACCUGUCAUUUGGAAUUUUUAAAGAUGAUCUUUGGUUGGUUGCCUCAAUACCUUCCCCAAAUACAGCUGGAGGAAGCAAGAUACGCUGUUGCCUCAAUCCUGGUAAGGUUGCCUCUUCAGAGGGGCUGGGUUUGAAAACAGGAGACUUCCUGUUCUUUGGCUAGGCAGCUUAGGAAAAAAAAAAGACCUCAAAGGAAAGGAACAUGUUUCUUACCAAUUAAGGGCUGGAAUGUCACUAGAACUAUUAACAAGUUCAUCCUUACCGGAGUUCAAAGAUGCCAAAAGUGUCUUCAGAGCUGUGAUCUCUGAGCUAAGUGCUUUUAGGGACUUUAUGAAGGGGUAAGGUAGUAAUGAAAUCUUGUCAAUAGAAAAAGCUCCAUGAACAAGAGAACAGAAUUUCUGGCCUGGGUAUAGGUCUAACAUUCUAAUGGGGACAAAUCAAUAUCUUGGCAAAGGAACCAUCCCUAUGAAUCAGGGGACUUACUUUGAACUAUACCAAUGAAGUAGAUGGAAUAAUACUUUUUUGUACUAGAGAUUUGUGUCAGGAUUAUGGAUUCAGCUAAUACUAAUCAGGGUCUCAAGAUGGACUCACUUGUCAGAAUGGGGAGGGUACUUCUAGUUCGCUAUGCUGCAGGCU
RNAcentral lists this long non-coding RNA (1412 nucleotides) under Mus musculus (house mouse). Its description in RNAcentral is "long non-coding RNA chr10:82165932-82167344". Lineage: Eukaryota; Metazoa; Chordata; Mammalia; Rodentia; Muridae. The record is from RNAcentral.